AGGAGGUGGAUAUUCACAGACAACCAGGAGGUUGGCUUAGAAGCAGCCAUACCUUGAAAGAGUGCGUAAUAGCUCACUGGUCGAGAGUAUCUGCGCCGAAGAUAUAACGGGGCUAAGACAUGAACCGAAGCCGCGGAAUUAGUUUAUGCUAAUUGGUAGGAGAGCGUUCUGUAGGCCGUAGAAGGGGUGUUGUAAGACAUUCUGGAGGUAUCAGAAGUGAGAAUGCAGGAAUGAGUAGCGAGAAGGAGGGCGAGAAUCCCUCCGGCCGGAAGUCCAAGGUUUCCAGGGGAAGGUUUGUCCGCCCUGGGGGAGUCGGGACCUAAGCAUAAGCAGAGCUGCGAAGGCGAAUGGAAAACAGGUUAAUAUUCCUGUACCGCUGUGUACUGACUGAGAGAUGGAGUGACGCAGGAAGGUAUGCGGGAAGGCUGACGGAAUAGCCUUUCUAAGGGUGAAGCGUGGACAUAUAGGCAAAUCCGUAUGUUUAAACGUGAGGCCUGACGGGUAAGUACCUUAGGGUAUAAGCCGCAGAUCCUACACUGCCGGGAAAAACUUCUAUUUAGGGAAGCAGCGCCCGUACUGUAAACCGACACAGGUGGACAGAGUGAGAAACUUAAGGCCGACAGGAUAACUCUGGCUAAGGAACUCUGCAAAAUGGCCCCGUAACUUAGGGAGAAGGGGUGCCUGAUAUACCUGAGAGGAGAGACACCUUAAGGGGAAACAGGCCGCAGUGAAGAGUCCCAAGCAACUGUUUACCAAAAACACAGGUCUAUGCUAAGCUGAAAGGCGACGUAUAUGGGCUGACACCUGCCCAGUGCCGGAAGGUUAAGGGGAGGACUGAGAGGUCCGAGCUGAAGCCCCGGUGAACGGCGGCCGUAACUAUAACGGUCCUAAGGUAGCGAAAUUCCUUGUCGGGUAAGUUCCGACCUGCACGAAUGGUGAAAUGAUUUGGGAGCUGUCUUGGCCGGAGACCUGGUGAAGUUGUAAUGCCGGUGAAGAUACCGGUUACCUGCAGUAGGACGGAAAGACCCCGUGGAGCUUUACUGUAGCCUGGCAUUGGGUUUCGGCAAUGUGUGUAUAGGAUAGCUGGGAGGCUAAGAAGAUAUGGCGUCAGCUGUAUUGGAGCCGCUGUUGGAAUACCAGCCACGCAUUGUUGGGAUUCUAAUCUCAAGAGAUGGGAGACAGUGCUAGGUGGGCAGUUUGACUGGGGCGGUCGCCUCCAAAAGAGUAACGGAGGCGUUCAAAGGUUCCCUCAGGCUGGAUGGAAAUCAGCCUAAGAGUGCAAACGCAUAAGGGAGCUUGACUGCAAGACUGACGGGUCGAGCAGGUACGAAAGUAGGAGUUAGUGAUCCGGCGGUUCCGUAUGGAAGGACCGUCGCUCAACGGAUAAAAGCUACCCCGGGGAUAACAGGCUGAUACUUCCCAAGAGUCCAUAUCGACGGAAGUGUUUGGCACCUCGAUGUCGGCUCGUCUCAUCCUGGGGCUGGAGAAGGUCCCAAGGGUUGGGCUGUUCGCCCAUUAAAGAGGCACGCGAGCUGGGUUCAGAACGUCGUGAGACAGUUCGGUCCCUAUCCACUGCAGGCGUCAGAAUAUUGAAGGGCUCUGUCCUUAGUACGAGAGGACCGGGAUGGACGGACCACUGAUGUACCGGUUGUCACGCCAGUGGCACGGCCGGGUAGUCACGUCCGGAAGGGAUAACCGCUGAAAGCAUCUAAGCGGGAAGCCCACCCUGAGAUGAAUGUUCUUUCAAGCAUCCGCCGAGAACAGGCGGUGAUAGGCCGGGGGUGCAAGCAUGGCGACAUGUUCAGCUGACCGGUACUAAUAAUGCGUAGGCUUACUUCA
Molecule: ribosomal RNA, 1839 nt
Filed under: human metagenome
Description: bacterial LSU rRNA
Rfam family: Bacterial large subunit ribosomal RNA
Source: RNAcentral